GGAAGGGCAAGCCAAUGGGCGGUGGUCGCUGUUUUGAAAACAGUUAGGAGCUAACGACUCGUGUGGGUUCGACUCCCACUCCUUCCGC
RNAcentral lists this transfer RNA (88 nucleotides) under Dokdonia pacifica. RNAcentral describes it as "tRNA-Ser". It matches the Rfam family "tRNA". From Rfam's summary of the family: Transfer RNA (tRNA) molecules are approximately 80 nucleotides in length. Their secondary structure includes four short double-helical elements and three loops (D, anti-codon, and T loops). Lineage: Bacteria; Pseudomonadati; Bacteroidota; Flavobacteriia; Flavobacteriales; Flavobacteriaceae. The record is from RNAcentral.